UCGUCGUGUCUGCAGCUGCACAGCGGCGGAGCGGUGUCUCCUGUGCUUGAGUUGUGAGUUCUUUUAGUUCAAUUCCUCACAUGUUCAGCUGUAAGGUUUUGCUAGGGUAUUAGGUUAUAAAUUUUAGGGUUAUGAAUGAAUUAUGAUUGCUUGUGUUUAGUGCAUUUAAACUGUUGAAUUAGUUUAUGUAUAGUACCCAGUGAUGAGGAUCUCCCAAUAAUUGAUAGGAAGUGCCGUAUGACACACUAAAAAGCAGCUCCGUUUCAGAGAAUGAUCUGAUCAGCCGAUAUCAUUUGUUGAUAUUGGUCUGAGAUCAUUUCUCUGCGGAGCUGUGUGUGAGAUUUGAAACGGGUCCCCUGAGGGUUUUUUAUAACUUCAUCAUUUCUUUUUCUUAAUUUAUUGUUGUAAUUUGGUCCGAUGCCACGUCUAUGGUAGCUAAACAUGAGCUCUGACCAAAGAUGCUAUGAUUGGACCAAAAUCAAGAGUGCUUGUCAAUUGUUUCGCAUUUUGAUAGGAAUCUGUUGAUCUUAUAUACGAUGAUUUUGCAGAGCCGAUUUGUGCGAUUACAUUUUCUAUUAUUUUAUAAAUUUGUUUUGUUUUUGCGGUCAUUGAUUGUGUUGUUUUUGUGAAGCCUAUGAUGAUAAAACAUAUCUGGAAUUACCGUCUGAAUAGAUUUAUUCUUUGAUGUAAAUUUCUUGGCUGUGGUACUGAGGCUUCUGUAUUUUUAAUUCAUUUUCAUUUUCACUUGUUUUCUUUGAAAGAAAUACUGAUCCAAAGAACAAUCUCAUCUGUCGAUGCCACCAUUUGUUGUUGUUGGUCGAGAUCAUUCAGUCUCUCGAGGGUUUUUUCUUAUACAUUAAUUUUUGUUAUUGGGUCUGAUGCCACGUCUUUGAUAGCUACAUAUAUUUGAGCUCUGAUCAAAGAUGCUAUGAUUGGACCAAAAUCAAGAGUGUUAAUCAUUUGUUUCGCAUUCUGAUAGGAAUCUGCUGAUCUUAUAUAUAAUGAUCCUGCAGAGCCGAUUUGUGCGAUUACAUUUCUAUAUAUUAUAAUAUUAAUUUUUUUUUUCUUCAAUUUUGUUGAUUUUUGUUUUAGUGAAGCCGAUGAUGAUGAAACUUGAACUGGAAUUACCGUCUGAAUAGAUUUAUUCUUUGAUGUAAAUUUCUUGGCUGUGGUACUGAGGCUUUGC
Molecule: long non-coding RNA, 1186 nt
Filed under: Medicago truncatula (barrel medic)
Lineage: Eukaryota; Viridiplantae; Streptophyta; Magnoliopsida; Fabales; Fabaceae
Source: RNAcentral